UACGUAGGCGGCAAGCGUUAUCCGGAAUUAUUGGGCGUAAAGAGGGAGCAGGCGGCAGCAAAGGUCUGUGGUGAAAGACUGAAGCUUAACUUCAGUAAGCCAUAGAAACCGGGCAGCUAGAGUGCAGGAGAGGAUCGUGGAAUUCCAUGUGUAGCGGUGAAAUGCGUAGAUAUAUGGAGGAACACCAGUGGCGAAGGCGACGAUCUGGCCUGCAACUGACGCUCAGUCCCGAAAGCGUGGGGAGCAAAUAGG
RNAcentral lists this ribosomal RNA (252 nucleotides) under uncultured bacterium. RNAcentral describes it as "partial 16S ribosomal RNA". It matches the Rfam family "Bacterial small subunit ribosomal RNA", at positions 524 to 776 of the family's 1533-position model. The record is from RNAcentral.